GCUGAUGACCAUCUAGAAUGGUUUAGUGGUAUAACGUUCGCUUCACAUGCAUGAGGGCACCAAAGGUGAUCUUCUGAGGACGCGAAAGGUCCGGGGUUCGAUGUGAGUCCCGCUUUCCCUCUGCUACAGCA
Non-coding RNA from Saxophila tyrrhenica, 131 nucleotides. Lineage: Eukaryota; Fungi; Ascomycota; Dothideomycetes; Mycosphaerellales; Extremaceae. The record is from the annotation of a RefSeq genome assembly.